RNAcentral lists this ribosomal RNA (157 nucleotides) under Aneurinibacillus migulanus. RNAcentral's name for it is "partial 16S ribosomal RNA". It matches the Rfam family "Bacterial small subunit ribosomal RNA", at positions 1079 to 1237 of the family's 1533-position model. Lineage: Bacteria; Bacillati; Bacillota; Bacilli; Caryophanales; Paenibacillaceae. The record is from RNAcentral.
GUUAAGUCCCGCAACGAGCGCAACCCUUGUCCUUAGUUGCCAGCAUUUAGUUGGGCACUCUAGGGAGACUGCCGUCGAUAAGACGGAGGAAGGUGGGGAUGACGUCAAAUCAUCAUGCCCCUUAUGUCCUGGGCUACACACGUGCUACAAUGGAUGG